This 269-nucleotide ribosomal RNA is filed under the name uncultured bacterium. Its description in RNAcentral is "partial 16S ribosomal RNA". It matches the Rfam family "Bacterial small subunit ribosomal RNA", at positions 58 to 326 of the family's 1533-position model. The record is from RNAcentral.
CAAGUCGGACGGGAUACGAGAGCUUGCUUUCCUUGAGAGUGGCGCACGGGUGCGUAACACGUAUGUAACCUACCUUAUCCAGGGGGAUAGCCUCUCGAAAGAGAGAUUAACACCGCAUAACAUCACGGGAUAGCAUUAUGCUGUGAUCAAAUAUUUAUAGGGAUAAGAUGGGCAUGCGGGACAUUAGCUACUUGGCGGGGUAACGGCCCACCAAGGCGACGAUGUCUAGGGGAUCUGAGAGGAUGGCCCCCCACACUGGUACUGAGACA